This 742-nucleotide ribosomal RNA is filed under the name uncultured Sphingomonas sp. RNAcentral describes it as "bacterial SSU rRNA". It matches the Rfam family "Bacterial small subunit ribosomal RNA", at positions 8 to 796 of the family's 1533-position model. Lineage: Bacteria; Pseudomonadati; Pseudomonadota; Alphaproteobacteria; Sphingomonadales; Sphingomonadaceae. The record is from RNAcentral.
AGAGUUUGAUCCUGGCUCAGAACGAACGCUGGCGGCAUGCCUAACACAUGCAAGUCGAACGAGCCCUUCGGGGUUAGUGGCGCACGGGUGCGUAACGCGUGGGAAUCUGCCCCUUGGUUCGGAAUUACAGUGGGAAACUACUGCUAAUACCGGAUAAUGACGUAAGUCCAAAGAUUUAUCGCCUAGGGAUGAGCCCGCGUAAGAUUAGCUAGUUGGUGGGGUAAAGGCCUACCAAGGCUACGAUCUUUAGCUGGUCUGAGAGGAUGAUCAGCCACACUGGGACUGAGACACGGCCCAGACUCCUACGGGAGGCAGCAGUGGGGAAUAUUGGACAAUGGGCGAAAGCCUGAUCCAGCAAUGCCGCGUGAGUGAUGAAGGCCUUAGGGUUGUAAAGCUCUUUUACCCGGGAUGAUAAUGACAGUACCGGGAGAAUAAGCUCCGGCUAACUCCGUGCCAGCAGCCGCGGUAAUACGGAGGGGGCAAGCGUUGUCCGGAAUUACUGGGCGUAGAGCGCGCGCAGGCGGCUCGCGACGUGCCGUGUGACAAGCGGGGGCUUAACCCCCGAGGGUCACGGUAGACGCGCGAGCUGGAGGCAGGGAGAGGGAUGUGGAAUGCCCGGUGGAGCGGUGAAAUGCGUAGAGAUCGGGCGGAACACCAGCGGCGAAGGCGGCAUCCUGGCCCUGUACUGACGCUGAGGCGCGAGAGCGUGGGGAGCAAACCGGAUUAGAUACCCCAGUAGUCC